This 261-nucleotide ribosomal RNA is filed under the name uncultured bacterium. RNAcentral's name for it is "partial 16S ribosomal RNA". It matches the Rfam family "Bacterial small subunit ribosomal RNA", at positions 91 to 353 of the family's 1533-position model. The record is from RNAcentral.
ACGAGUGGCGGACGGGUGAGUAAUGUCUGGGAAACUGCCUGAUGGAGGGGGAUAACUACUGGAAACGGUAGCUAAUACCGCAUAACGUCGCGAGACCAAAGAGGGGGACCUUCGGGCCUCUUGCCAUCGGAUGUGCCCAGAUGGGAUUAGUUAGUUGGUGAGGUAACGGCUCACCAAGACCGCGAUCGGUAGCCGGACUGAGAGGUUGAACGGCCACAUUGGGACUGAGACACGGCCCAGACUCCUACGGGAGGCAGCAUG